This is a transfer RNA of Nomascus leucogenys (northern white-cheeked gibbon), 72 nucleotides long. It matches the Rfam family "tRNA". From Rfam's summary of the family: Transfer RNA (tRNA) molecules are approximately 80 nucleotides in length. Their secondary structure includes four short double-helical elements and three loops (D, anti-codon, and T loops). NCBI's taxonomy places the organism in Eukaryota, Metazoa, Chordata, Mammalia, Primates, Hylobatidae. The record is from Rfam.
CAGGAUGUGGUAUAUUGGGUAGCACGGAGAAUUUUGGAUUCUCACGGGUAGGUUCAAUUCCUGUAAUUCUAG